MicroRNA precursor from Leersia perrieri, 187 nucleotides. It matches the Rfam family "MIR812 microRNA precursor family". Lineage: Eukaryota; Viridiplantae; Streptophyta; Magnoliopsida; Poales; Poaceae. The record is from Rfam.
UUUUGGAUUUCCGUUUUUAACUUUGACCGUUUAUCUUAUUAAAAAAUUAUAAAUAAAACUAAAAGCAAUCAUGCAUGAAGUAUUGUUUAUGUGUUACCAUCUAAUAGCAAUAAAAUAUUAAUUAUAAAAAAAUUUAAAUAAGAUGGACGGUUAAAGUUAGACACAAAUAUCUAAAAAUGAAGUCUUU